RNAcentral lists this ribosomal RNA (491 nucleotides) under uncultured bacterium. RNAcentral's name for it is "partial 16S ribosomal RNA". It matches the Rfam family "Bacterial small subunit ribosomal RNA", at positions 29 to 506 of the family's 1533-position model. The record is from RNAcentral.
AGUGAACGCUGGCGGUAGGCCUAACGCAUGCAAGUCGAACGGCAGCACAGUAAGAGCUUGCUCUUACGGGUGGCGAGUGGCGGACGGGUGAGGAAUACAUCGGAAUCUACUUUUUCGUGGGGGAUAACGUAGGGAAACUUACGCUAAUACCGCAUACGACCUACGGGUGAAAGCAGGGGAUCUUCGGACCUUGCGCGAUUGAAUGAGCCGAUGUCGGAUUAGCUAGUUGGCGGGGUAAAGGCCCACCAAGGCGACGAUCCGUAGCUGGUCUGAGAGGAUGGUCGCCCACACGUGACAUGAGGACGGGUCCGAACUCUUGGGGGAGGCGACGGGGGGGAAUGUUGGCAAUGGGGCGAAAGCCGGUGCCACCCGAACCGCGGGGGGAAAGAAGCCCUUCGGGUUUUAAAGCCCGUUUUUUGGAAAAAAAAAGCAGCGGGUUAAUACCCCGUUUGUUGGCCUGUUCCCAAAAAAAAGGCACCGGCAAACAUGGU